AUUUGUAGGUUUUCAUUCAAUAUUGAUGCAUUUUACAUGUACUCUUGUCCUGUAUCAGGCUGAGUCUUUUUCUCUGCAGAAAAUGAAAAGCAUGUACUCAUGUCAAGAGCGUAAUUCAUAGUUAUUUUCAGCAGGUGCUUAAAAACAUUUGUAAAUUCCAGCUUAUAACUGAGCAAUUCACCCUCCACCCCCUAUAUGUAAAUUUGUAACAGAGGAUUCAGUAAGGGGUUUGAGUGUAUAAACGAUACCUUUAUUUUCAGUGUGGAAUUCCCAUUGAGAGGCCAGGCCUAAAAAUACCAAAUGUUUCCACAAACAAUUCCUGCACACUGCAUGUUGAGCAAUACAGCUACAACCAAGGGGAGAGCUUCUGCUGACAGUUGAAUGCAGGAGUCCAAACUGAGUUAGGUUAUAUAUAGUUUUUAUUACUGGUCAUAAGCUCUUACCAGAAAUCCAGAUGUGCUUGAAUCAUGCAACAGAUUAAUGACACAAAAUGACUGUGGGUGCAGGAUGAAGGCUCCUUUUGUUUACCAGAGAGGAUACUGUAACUUCCAGUUAAUGACUUCAAACUAUCUUACAGAACACAAAGGAACAAGUUAAGGCACGUAAACAGAAGUUGCCAGACUUCUUAUCAAGUGAUUGUGGAAUUUCAUGUCAAAGUACACCCUCUCUCGAUUAAAUCCCUGCAGAACCAGCAUCAUCACUGUGCUGUGCUGCCAUAAAGGAGAGAAUAUAGCCUUUGUCCCCGCUCGGCACUAGCGGAACCGAGAGCGAUGCACGCAGUUGGCAAGGGCUGCAACAACAGAGUCCCCAUUCAUCGCUGCCCUCAGAGCAGUUUGGUUUAGCUGUGUUACGUAAGCCAUUUGUGGUAUAACUCAGGACAUUGCACAGAAUAAUAUUGGGCAUGGAUAUCCAGCUGUUGUGCGAGAUAUUGAGAAGGGAAUAAAGGUACCCUAUUGCGGUCGGGGGCUGGGGCACGCCUUCAGCAGCUCAUUGAAUUGAGGUAUUGCGACCCAUUCCCUCAGCAACCAUCACAUGACAAGUGCUAGAAGCAGUAUUGAGCUACUGCACUAGACAUCCUUCUUGUACAAAAAUUACUCAGUUUUACCCUUUGUGAACCUAAUGCCAAUCAAUGUGAUUUUUGACCAGACUGGUAAGGGAAAGCUUUUUCUGAAAAUACUGUGUGGUUACCAACCUUAUGCUGUAGGAACUAUAAAACAGAUAAUAUAUUUGUCAUUGACUCUGAGAAGUUACUGCCAUUAGCUAUUGGGCUUCCUGAAGGUAAAUCCACCUGACUUUUGUAGUUAGUAUUCCGCCCAAGAUUGUGCAAAAUAAUAUUAUUAAGUAGAAUGUUUUGGCUUAUCAUGGAAAGAAGGAAAAGAGCUGCUGAAAUAUAUCAGAAGUUGGCAAUGGUGAAAAUACUGCCUUGCUAUCCUGAACAUUAUCUGAUGAAGUAAGAUGCUGCAUAAAAUUCUCCUCAAUUAAAGUAAUGGGUCUCGGUGUUUUCUUUUGGAGGGCUAAAUAAGUGAAAUCAGACGUUUCCCAGAGUCACGGAUUGUCUUUGCCUUUGUUUUGUCUGCCCUGUGCCAGGGAGGCACUGGACAUUGCCUGCUUGGCAAAAAGUCUUGCUUUUCCGGGCAUUUGAUAUCACUACUCCUCAGUGUGACCUUGCAAAGUGACUAGAGAUGCUGGAGGAACUUCAGGCAAAAGCUAGUUUUGUUUCAGCCAGGUGGUGGUUUAAGUCCUUGAUUACUGAGUUAGCACAAACAAAAAAUGUGAAGCAUCAACCAAAUUACACAGACACUGUUGCUAUAUGUUCUAUUCAACCUGUUUCUCUAUGAUUUUGGCCAAGGUGUGUUAUAGCUACAAAAAUCUGAGAAUCUGGCUCUGUACAGGUGCCUGUUGCCUUUAUAAUCUCCCUUUCUAAGGAGAAAUAUUACCUAGAGUUAAAGAAAUAAAAUUUCAGAUCAUGUUUCUGUUGAUUUUUUUUUAAGCUCCUUUUUUCCUGUUUUGUUUUCAGUUAUGUGGCAACCAAGAUGCUGAUCCUAUCAUAUCCUUAAAUCUUAUUUGUGAACAGGUCUUGAUGCUGAAGAGCAUCCUUAAAAUUCCUGUGUUUUACCUUAUAAUAAUUCACUUAUAUCAUGCACUAGAAGCACUUUAUUGUAUCAGGUAGCACUUUGUUUUCUAGAGCAGUAACACUUUAUUGUGAUUAUGUAUGACAUUAACAUGACAUAUUACUUUUACUUGGGGACAAAACCUGAUGCAUUAAAUCCAUGACAGACUUGGGCUUGUAGGGUGAUACUUCUGAAUAGUCUUGGGCUACUAGCCUGUUCUACAGUUAGUAAUUUUUGGGGGCUCUAGCCAUCACAGUGAUGAAUUACUGAAAACAACUGGAGAGUCUAUUGUAACUACAAAAUUUGGUAUUCAUAAAUAUAUAUGGGCAGGAAGUGCUGAUAAAAAUUCCAAGUAAUUUUUCAUGGUUUGGGGGCCUUCUUUAACUGGGCUGUAAAAUGGAAAAUAACCAGUUGAAUCAUUUUAUUAGAAGGCAGCAUCCAUUCUUUAUGUGUAUAACCACAUCAUCUGU
This is a non-coding RNA of Zonotrichia albicollis (white-throated sparrow), 2581 nucleotides long. Lineage: Eukaryota; Metazoa; Chordata; Aves; Passeriformes; Passerellidae. The record is from RefSeq and is a predicted model, not a curated record.